UUUGUAUCUGUGGCUGCACUUGAAGACUCGGCCUUGCUAGCAUCAGAAGGCAAGGCUUUGCUUGAGAGUGGAUGGUGGAGUGACUACAGCAACCUCACCUCACAUCGUUGCAACUGGACUGGCAUAGUCUGUGAUCGAGCUGGAAGCAUCACUGAGAUUUCCCCACCUCCAGAGCUCCUCAAGGUGGGAAAUAAGUUUGGAAAGAUGAACUUUUCUUGCUUGUCAAAACCUUGUCCGUCUCCACCUGGCCAACCAUGAGCUCAGUGGGAGCAUCCCGCCUCAAAUUUCUGUCCUUCCUCAACUCAGAUACCUCAACCUGUCCUCAAACAAUAUCAGUGGUUCGAUUCCUUCAACUUUGAGCCUUUUAUCCAAUUUGAUUGUUCUAGAUCUUUCCUGCAACCAAAUCACCGGUUUGAUUCCUUUUUCGUUAGGCAAUUUAACAAGCUUGACAAGGCUAAACCUUUCUCACAACCAAAUCAACGGAUCCAUCCCUUCAUCUUUGAAGUAUUGUAAUAAUUUGGCCUCCCUAGAUUUGAGCUUGAAUAAUUUAAGUGAAGAGAUACCCUCCGAACUAUAUGGUUUGGCCUCUUUAAAAUAUGUGAAUUUUAGUUACAAUAAUCUCUCAGGCCCUGUUCCCUUGCCUUUGCAACCGCCCUUUAAUUUUGAUUUCACAUGUGAUUUACUUCUUCAUAGGCAAAUUACCAACGAUUCUGCAACUUUUAAAGCUACUGCAUUUGAUGGCAACAAAGAUUUACACCCUGAUUUCUCAUAUUGUCCAUCUAUUUACUCCCCACAAACCUACUUGUUACCUUCAAAAGACAACAUAAUUCUUUCCAACAAGAUACUUCUUCCUAUCACCACCAUUUCACUUUGUCUCUUGUGUUUCAGAUGUUGUUAUCUGUCUCGAUGCAAGGCUACCCAACCUGAGGCAACAUCAUCAAAGAAUGGAGACUUGUUUUCCAUAUGCAAUUAUGAUGGGACGAUUGCAUACGAAGACAUCAUUGUAGCGACCGAGAACUUUGACCUCAGAUAUUGUAUCGGAACCGGUGGUUAUGGGAGCGUCUACCGAGCACAACUUCCAAGUGGGAAAUUAGUUGCCUUGAAGAAACUUCAUCGUCGAGAGGUAGAGGAGCCAGCUUUUGACAAGAGUUUCAAAAAUGAGGUGGAAGUCCUCACACAAAUACGCCACAGGAGCAUCGUAAAGCUUUAUGGAUUCUGUUUGCACCAGCGCUGCAUGUUUCUUGUUUACGAGUACAUGGAAAAGGGAAGCUUGUUUUGUGCCUUGAGAAAUGAUGUCGGAGCUCUGGAAUUGAAUUGGAUGAAAAGAGCACUCAUCAUCAAAGACAUUGCUCACGCAUUAUCUUACUUACAUCAUGAUUGCAACCCGCCAAUUGUUCAUCGAGACAUAUCAAGCAGCAAUGUUCUGUUGAAUUUAGAAUCCAAGUCUUUUGUUGCUGAUUUUGGUGUGGCUAGACUUCUCGAUCCUGAUUCGUCCAACCAUACUGUACUUGUUGGUACCUAUGGAUACAUUGCCCCAGGUAAAAAUAUUUCUUCUUAACAUGCAUAUUUAACACUCAUGCACUGCAAAACUAAAGCAAACUCUCUUUUAAAUAUAUAUAUUAAUUUCGUUUUGCAUAUGGACAGAGUUGGCUUAUACUAUGGUGGUGACAGAGAAAUGUGAUGUGUACAACUUCGGAGUUGUGGCCCUUGAAACUUUGAUGGGAAGGCAUCCGGGAGAUAUCCUAUCAUCAUUUGCUUAGGCUAUUACACUGAAAGAAGUGUUAGAUCCUCGUUCGUCACCUCCAACAAAUAAGAUUGUCAUACAGAAUAUAUGUACCAUUGCAAGUCUCAUAUUUUCUUGCUUACAUUCAAAUCCCAAAUAUCGACCUUCAAUGAAAUUCGUGUCUCAAGAAUUUCUAUCUCCCAAGAAAUUAUUGGAAGGUAUUGAGAUUUCUUUGUUGGAGCUGGAAAAUCUUGGCUUGCACACAAAUGUAGGUGAGAUCACAGUUCCUCGCUGAAAAAGUCGACUUUGAUCUCGCAUGGAACAUCAACGAGAGCCUCCAAGAGCAUGCCUUUAUACGAUUUCUUAAAUUUGGAUGAACUGUUUUUUCUUUUCUUUUGUUUUAGCACACUACAUGUCUUUGUAAUUUUAAUAAUGCACACUUUUCUUUUGCAUGAUAGUAUCAAUAUACAUGAGCAUCGUAUUAAGUUUAUCUCUCUGUACGUCUAGGUUAAAUUGAAAUCAUCACUCAUCUUAUAAUUAGGCAAAUCCACACUUGAAAUAUGCAGAAGAUAUUUGUUAACUCUAUUAAUUUGUCCCUGCAAGCUCUUGUAUAAUAGAUGCCUGAAAGCAAUGAUUGGAUCUACUCUCUACAGUCUGUUCUGACUCCUGUCACUAUCUGAGCAACACGUUUUGCUCUUCUUUUUUUUUUGCUGAAUGAUGCACAGACGGAAUUUUCAAUCAUCUUCAUGAUAUCUUUAAAUACGAAAAAGCUUGGGGUAUGUGCAACUGUCCUGAUGCUCUUAGACAAGCCAGGAAAAAAAUUAUUAGGAGCAUCAUAUUUUUCCUUGGACGUUCGUUCAUAGAUCGUAUAUGCUAAAUGUUUUACGUAGUCUAAUUAUAACAAAAGAUUACAUGACAGUUCAUAUUCUCCUGCAUGAAAGCUCUAUUAUACAUACCCAUUAUCUUGGUGACAAUUGACAAGUCGCCGGUGCAAUUCUGCAAUUAUUUUACAAUGCAAGAAUAAUAUAUUUAUUUAGGAUUUUAUUAAUUAUCUCAUGGCUGUGUAUAUUCAAUAAUUUUCUUUAAUGAUUCCAGCCCCGCAUCAGUUUCUUGUUCGAGGCUUUUCGGGCCUUCAAUUGAACCUAAACAAAAACAAACUAUUCUAACAUGUACACGAAACAAAUCCCAAGCAGCUAUAGGCUUAAGCCUUUUUAUACGAGCAAGACGAAUCAGCACGAUUUUCAAAUUCUUGCAAGAAUUACCAGAACCCACAAACGUGGCAACUCAAGGACCUCAUCAUCCAAAACCAGAAGGCAAGUACUCACCUAGAAGACAAGAUUGUAGGGUUGUACAGGUCUACUUCUGCAAUUACUUGUCAAGUCCUCCAACUAUUGCCUAAUUCUUAAUCAAGUCCUCAAUCCAAAUUGGAUAUCCAUCACACAUUAUCCAAUUCACCCGUCACCAUAAAAAAAAUAAAAAAUUGAAAUAACUAGUUUGUUUAAGAUGGAUGGUUCUAUGGUUCUGAUUUACAAAUCUUGAGAUCAAACUUAGAAUGCAAUGAAAGUGUUUGGUUUAGAAUAAAUAAAUCAUCUCUUUUUAGAUUAAAAGUUACUUCUAACACGAUAAUAAUAAAUAGUUAAUUAUAGUUUUAUGAUUUUAAAGAAAAACAUUUAAAAUCAAAAGUCAGUUUAAAAAAGAUUACGAGUAAUUCAUUCUAAAUAUUUACAGUAAACGGAGCCAGAAUUUCAAGAGCCUUUAAUUAUUAAAAUUUACAUCCUCACUUGAUGUAACCAUAUUAUUCGAUAGUUUUACCCGCAUUUAACUAGUGUUUUGCAUAUGUUAUUUCUAUAAAAUACCUUGAUAUUCUUUGUUUAUGUUUUGAAGGCACUUUUGGAUGAAAAAUACAAAAAAGAGUAAAUUGGAAGUAAUUGACAGAUUUGACGUUCAGUCGAUGUUUUGUGCAGAGCGUGAGUUCUAGAGGUCGAAACGAAGUGAUUCCAAUGGCAUUAAAAAGCUAACAUCCAUACCUUUUGGAAAUGUAAUGCAAGAAAAAUAAAAAGAGAAAGAUCAUGGAAAUCACAUCCUUCAAAGUCAAAUCUCGCAGUCUGCCAAUGUUGACCUUUGCCCAUUCAAAAUUCAAUAUCUGGAGCUUCAGAAGUCCAAUUGAUGCAAACUCAAUUUUGGAUUCCUUACUCAAAGAUCUAUAAACGCUCCAAAUUUCAGCCAAAAACGAUGUCAUAUGAGGGAGAUAUGAUUUUUCAAAGAUGACAGCUGAAUUCUGCCAGCAAGCAGGUUGCGUGAAGAAACGAAUCCAAAUUUCAUCCAGAAGCAUCCAAACCGACCAGCAAUUUAGCUCCUCUAGUAAAUAUUCUAGAAGGUCAAGGAAGGCAGCCACCAACCUCAAGGCAGCCAGCCAGCCACCAACCUCAAGCAGCGCAGCCAGCCAGCCGCCAGCGCGCCUUCACACUACCACCAUCUAUUGAUGUUCACACUUGAACUUUGAUUUUCUUACUUACAAUUUGUGUAUAAAUAGAGGGUGAGUAGAAGGAGGUAGAAGCAAAGCAAGAAGGGAGGAAACACAAACUCUCCUCUCUACAAAUCAGAAAUUAUGUAUUCUUUCAUCUUUAGGAGUAGUUGUUCAAUAGAUAUGCAAGGCUAAGCUCGUUUUCUUGGUUGCAAGGACACAACAAACCUUCGGAUUUCAAGAACCGUGAGAUUUAUUCUUCCUUUUAUUUUCAGUUUAUGUUAUGAAUGAAUAUGUUUGUUUUCCUAUGCAUAUUUCCUAUGAUUGUUUAUCUUAAUUGCUAGAGCGGACUCUAAGUUAUUAUUGUGAACAAUCUAUUGCUAAGUUUGAUAUCAAAACCGGAGUUGUGGUAUAUAAACUUGUGAAGCAACUAAGCUUGAUAAUUGUAGCGGAACUACGUUAUUAAACUUAGGGAGAACAUUCGAUCAUAGCAACACAAAUUGACAACUUGGUUGUUAAGAUUAAUGAAUUUAUCUGGAUCUUAAGGCUGCCAUUGGAUUAAAUCAUUAGUGCGGACACUGUGAUUGUUUGUUUGGUUAGGGCUAGUUAUACGAUCGGAUCCGUUAAUUAACCAAUAUUAAGAAAAGAUAAAAUUCAUAAUAUAAACUGGAGUUUCGUUUCAAGGAUCGGUUCUAAUUUCCGUUGGUGGAUGUGUGCUUGCAACCAAGGUUUGUUUUCUUGAUAUAUUUCAGUUUCAAUUGAUUUUGUUUGCUAGUUUAAUUUCUGCCAUAGUUUAAAAUCAUUUCAAAUCAAUCCCCCCCAAUUACAUAACGUACAACAUAAAAAUCUGACUUGAAACUUCCUCGUGGGAUCGACCCCUUGCUUGCUCUAUACUAUCUUGUGUGUUUUAAGCUAGGGUAAUUAAUUUGUGCGACCGCGACAUCGCAACAUCACUUAAAAUCCAAACAAAUUUAGAAACGCGAGAAAGUUGUUCAGAUUAGGCUGAAAAAAGAAAAAAGAAACCAACGAUUUUUCAAUCUUCCCUCUUAUUGCUUAAUCAAGCAGAGAUGGUGGUUGCUUAGAUUUUCUCCUUCAAUUAUAGUUUAUCGUUCAGUUUCAACCAUAAACAGGCAAGACUCCCACGAAUCCAGGCUGUUUUCAGACACCAAUAUUAAGUGGGACCCAAGGUUCAGCUUCUAAACUCCGACAGCACAGAACUGACCAUAGUUAAAACCCUGUAAGGGAAAAUAGUUUUCACUCUCCUUCUGUCGUCAACUGAAAGUUAAAAAAAUAACUGUAAUAAAAAACCAUGACGACUAUCUUGUUUUGGUCAACCUUUUCUACCUUUGCUGAUCAUUUUCACUCUCCUUUCUUGAUUGCUUCUUCUUGUUGGUUUCUCUUCUAUUUUACCACUAUUUAAUUACAAAAUAUUUAUUAUAAUAUUAAAAAAAAAAAACCAAAUACAGCACCCUUUUUCUCCCUUCCCCUACUUCUCCUUCCUCUCGGUUUCCUACUCAUAUUAGUUUCCCAUUUCGAAUAAGGGAAAUAAGCCCUAAUAAUCGAAGUUGAAUCGGCCUCAUGGAUGGUUCAAUUCUCCUGGACCUACUUGUUGAAUUGCCAAACAAGAAGUAGGGAAGAGGGUUUUUGGAAUCUCUGUAAAUUGGAGACCUUUUGAUAGCUCAAGGAGGAUAUAGGUAUGGCUGUUGUAAUGGGAUUUUGCAUUCAAUGUUUUUGAAAUGUAAGGAGUUUCUUUCUCUUGCUGUGAUCUUUGCUGUUCCUAAUUUGUCACAGAGCAGUAAGAAGAAAAGGGUAUUUGAGUUUGAGUUUAAGUUUGAUUUGUGGUGUUAAUGGGGGAAUUCGGUUAAUUUGAUUAUAUCAUUGAUUAAAAGUGUUAGUGAUUCUGUUGGGCAUCGUUAAUAUUUAAUAUUUCAAAGAUGUUUUGCCAAUCCCUGAUGCAUUUAUGAAGCUUUGUUGCCCAUCAGUACUACUGUACUUCUUGAUGUCCUCUCUGUUUCGACUUGUCUGUUCUUUUUUUUUUUUUGUUUUAAUGUUUGCUGCAAGUGUUAUCCUCUAGAUUAGAUAAUUUGAGCAAAUUCGGGGACUUAGAAUUGGUGAUUUAUCGCACAAUUAUCCACAAUUUUCGCUGAAAUGGAAGGGAAAGGCGUGCUAUUACUUUGCGCAACUCGUCAGUGCCUGCCUGCUUGUGCGAUUCUUCAUCUCCACAUUUUCUUUCAUUGCUAUAGUUGAACUUGUUAUCUGCUAGACUGGAUAAUUGAGCUUGCGAAAUGGCAAUUUUGAGGUUUAGAUUGCCAAUUCGGUAUUGUCACUGGAUUAGAAGGGAAACGUUACUUUUGUAUGCUUGCUUGCUCUCUUUUAGUGUGAUUAAUCUCUUUUUGUAUGUUUGCUUACUGGAUUUUUUUGGUUUAUUGUUCAGUGCGUGGAAUAUUUUGUUUGAAUUUGAUUAAUUCCAUUAACUCCUGAAUGAAUUAAUAUAUGUUAUGGUUCCCGUCAUAAUUGAUUUACAUUUGUGAUUCUCAAGGCUGGCAACCAGGAAUUCAAGAGGGUGCUGCUUCUUGGGAUGAAGAUUGGGAUAAGUUUGAAGAUGAUGGUAUGCUCUCUACCUUCCCUACAUUGAACUAUUUAUCACACCUCAUGCUUCCUUUUGCCUUUCCAAUCUCCAAUAAAUGCCAUGAAUUGAGUGGAUUUUUCUCAAGAAUAUUGCACAAAUAUUAGUUCGAAUUUAUCUAUGCAACAUAUCAUUUCCACUUUCAGGGUUUUCCAAUGAGCUCACUGUUGAUGUGAAAAGCGCUCCUGGUCAAAAGGAGAGAGCACCUGCGGAUGUUAGUUUAACCCCUGAUUCAUUGUCAAAUGGAGAUGGGAGGUCUGGAAUUUUUACUGGAGACCAUGUGCUUGAGAGUGAAUCUGCAUAUAUCCACAGUGAAGAUGAAAUUGCAAGAAGCCCUCAAGACAGUCCAGCUGGAAGGGCUGCUUCAGAAAGUCCAUCUCAAGACUUUGCUGAUGUUUUUGCCAAGAAUACUGAAGCAGAUAUAGAUACCCACAGGUACAGCAAUCAAUUUGUUUCCAUGUCUUUUGCCUACUUUAGUGCUGAUUGUUGGCCUACUUCAUGAUGAUAAUGAACUUUAUAUUUUUGGCAAUAGAAGUUUUGAUGAUUCAACUUGGGGUGCCUUUGACACAAAUGAUGAUGUGGACUCAGUCUGGGGAUUUAACCCUGCAGGCAACAAGGUGAGUCCAGUAUUCCUGAAGCACUCUUUUAUUCUACUGCAAUUGAGCAUGGAUACAUGUUGGAUAUUCAAAUUGUAGCUUGCUGAAGCACAUUCUAUGCAGUUAUCACUUUAUAGAUCACUUCAUUAAGGAAUUGCACCUGAUAUAUUGAUUUAACGCUCACAUCAUGAUUGCUGGAAUGCUUUUACAAAUGCAGGCAUAUUCUUGUUAUUACCAUCAUAUUUGCACAUACCUUGGGCCAUGCAUCUAUCCUUAGGUUUCCAUGUUUUGUGCAUAGGCACUCUGGUCGAAGUGAACCUAUUGGCAAGUCUUGUGAAAUAUACCUGUGUGCAGUUCUCAGGUUUUAUCAUCCAAUGAGAUAUCCAGAUGCAUAUCCAUUGUCGAUACAGUGAGUUGAACUUUGUGAGAGAUGCCAUGUGCUAUUAGAGAGCUCAAACAAUGCUAAAGAUACAAAUUAUUUUGAUUAAAAUUAUUUUAUGGAUUGGUGCUGCUGCUAUGAUGGGUGUUGCAGUGAUCGAUUAAAUAAUAAGAGUCUGAGAUAUCUCUUCACAUUGCCCUCAAUUAUUUGGUUGUGUCAUCUAGCAGGACUCUUCUGAGAACGAGAGAGAUUUCUUUGGAUCUGAUGAUUUUGGUCUAAAGCCAAUCAGAACGGAAUCCACAUCAACAACGAAUACUUUCCAGAAAAAGAGUAUAUUUUUUGAAGAAUCUGUUGCAGGUUCCCCAAUGUCAAGAUUUGGCAACUCUCCAAGGUUCAGCGAAGCAGGGGACCAUUUUGACAAUUACUCGAGAUUUGAUUCCUUCAGCAUGAAUGAAGGAGGCUUUUCACCACGAGAAAAGCUUACAAGGUUCGACUCCAUAAACAGCUCCAAAGAUUUUGGCCACAGCCGUGCUUUCACUUCAUUUGAUGAUGGAGAUCCAUUUGGCUCCAGUGCCCCCUUUAAGGUUUCAUCUGAAGAUCAAACUCCCAAAAAGAGUUCUGGCAAUUGGAGUUCUUUCUAGCAGCAAUCUGGUUUUCCCCUCCCUCCCUCUCUCUCCAUUUUUUUUCACGGUUGCCAAUUUUUGUAUGUGCUGUAUAGAUUGUGUUGAAAUGCUGCAUUGUUGUAAAGUUAUUCAUCAUGGCCUUGCUUCAUUUUUAUUUUGCUGAGGUAAAAAACUUAUGUUUGGGGGGCAUCCAGAUCAAAGAUGGAAUGCUUGUUCUUUUGAGUGGCAAAUUCUUGAGACCAAUAAAACUGAGUAGUUUGAGAAAACAAUGACUCUUGGCAUUCCAUCAACUCACAUUGCUCAAAUGCAUUUUAUUUGAAGCUGCCUGCUUCACUAUGACUGUUGGCAUUCCCUUUCAUCAUUUUUUAAUUUUUGGUGCUACGAGUUGUUUAACAAUGUAAGUCAGUCAGUAAACACCGGUUUGGAGGCGCGUGACCUUCCUUAAGGGUUUUGACCACGCGCUUCCUUGGAUAUUUCUAUUAUACAGAUGAGCUCGGCUGCUAGGCUAUGUCUGAAUAAGAUUAUGGGCUUGUUAGCUGGGCCUUUUCCAUAUUGGCAAGUUGUGGACUCGUAUUGGGUUUUGCGUGUCGGAUUUGAUGAAUCAUUUUUUUCUUUUCUUUUCUUGAGAAGUAUUUGGUGAAUCUAUUUUAUCUAUAAAAUAGUAAGUAAAUCGCUAUUCCUGGAAUAAUAAAGGAAUGCUGAAGUUGAUUCGGCUUUUUCCGGGGAAAAGAAAAAAGAUCAAUCCUUCUGUAUUUUGGAAUGCUAGAUAUAGGUAUGGUGCUCGUAUUGUUUUCUUCACUUGAGUUUACUGCCCCACAUAAUUCCUGCUUCAUUUUAUUUUCCCCGAAGAAGUUUAUAUAUAUAUGGGCAUGGUGCUCAUCAAAUGCAAUAGAUUUUGGAAAUUUAAACAAAAGUAUUUUCUGACAUUACGAGAGGGCUACGGUGCUUGUGCUGGAGUUUACUGCCCCACCUAUCAAAUUGCAGUGCUCAUAUGCAAAGAAAAGUCACUAAAAAAGAGCAUCAUCAAUAUUCUAAGCCCUUCAAUAAUUAUCGAGUUAAUGGACCCCAUACCGACACUGACAUUAAUUGUGUUUUCUUGUAGAAUCAAACUAUUGCUGCUCCCAACAAAAUAAAUUUUAUUUUUUAAUAUUAAAUUGAUUAUCAAUUAGAUUUUAUUAUUUAUUUUAAUUUAUUUUCUAUAAAAUUAUUUUGAUUUUAUAAUUUGAAUUAUGUAUUUUGCAGGUUAACACUUGUAGAUUGAGAUUAUUUUAUUGUGUCAUGUUUUUAUAUUGAAUUUUUCUUUUUCAAUUUCAACAUUUAAUAAUAAUUUUUUUUGAAAAUUGAGUCUCAUAAUUUGUUUUGAUUUACUUUCUAUGGAUUUAUCAAGUUAACUCGAGUUGACUCAAUUUACUUUUUUGUUUACUUUCUAUAAGGUUAUCCUAAUUUUUUGACCCGGAUCACGGGUUUGACAGUUUAACUUAGGUCACUUUUUUUUUAAAUUUUAUCCUUUAAUAUUUGAUUGAUUUGGAAUCAGGCUUCAUAUUUUUUUUGGUCUUGCUUUCUCUAAAGUUAUCCUGAUUUCAUUAUUAGGGUUACAGUUUGGCAAGUUAACCUGAGUUGACUCUGGUUUUUUUUGUUUUUAUUUUUUUUAAUUUCAUCAUUAAAAAUUAAGACAUCUUAUCUUGAGUCACAUGUCAACUUAGGUUUGUUUUUAAUUUUAUAUUUUAAUAUUUAAUUAAUUUGAGAUUAAGCUUUUUAUUUAUUUUUGUUUUCUAUGAGGUUAUUUUAAUCUUAUUACAUAGUUCAAGAGUUUGACUGGUUAACCUGAGUUGACUUAAUUUUUUUAAUUGAUUUUUUUUUUCAAUUUCAUACUUCAACAUUGGAUUAAUUGAGAAUUAAACUUCAUAAUUUGUUUUGAUUUGAUUUAUAAGGAGUUAUCUUAGUCAUAUGACUUAGGUUGUAGCUUUAACAGGUAAACCCGGGUUAACUCGAGUUGUUGUUUUUUUUUUUUUUUAAUUUCAUAUUUUAUGAUUGGUUUAAUUGAGAAAUGAGUUUCAUAUUUGGUUUUGAUUUGCUUUCUAUGUGGUUAUUUUGGUCUUAUGUUUUGAGUCGUGAAUUUGACAGGUUUACUCGGGUAGAUCUAAUAUGUUUUCGUCUCAAUAUUUUUUUUUUUUAAAAACAUGCAAUCUUGAAUUUCUUUAAUCAAACUAUAUUUUUAACGAUUUUCCAAUUGACCUGGUCAUAUAUCAAGUUAACCCCUACACGUUUUAAUUUUUUUCAACUAGAAAACACGUUAAUAACACUUAGAUAUUUUUUUGACGUUAAAAAAAUUAAUCCGACCUGCAACAUAGUGCGGACAAUAAUCUAGUCUACUCUAUUUUUGAAAGUAAAGGCCUAAAGGGAUAUUCGAGAUUAUGGUAGUGAUUGCUUUUCAAAGUGCAUUCACUCAGAAAUGUAUUAAAAUAAUAUAUAUAUAUAUAUUUUAAAAAUAUUAUUUUUGAUAUUAACACAUCAAACUAAUCUGAAAAUGCUAAAAAAAUUAUUAAUUUGAAGUAAAGAAAAAAAUAAUUUUUUUUUAAUUUUUUCAAAACAUUUUUGAAACCAAAAAAACAAACAAACAUUAAAAGAUGUUAAAAUUCGGAUAGACUUAGAAUGAAAUCCCCAAACUAAUGGCAAGAGGAUCAGAAUACAUGUAUUUGGAUUAUUUUCUACUCGAUCUCUUCCCAUGAAAGUCAGGGAGAAUAGAUUAACUGACUGGCCUUCCUAAUUUCCAAAUGAUACUAUUGGUGAACCUUUUUCUCCUUUGUGGAAAAAGAAAAGGACUUGCUAGACAAUCUGAAUCUAUUGUCUUAUGCAUUGGAAUUGAUUGUUGGCGUUCCCGCUCUUCAUUUUUUUUUUAAUUUUUUGUGCUACGAGUUGCUUAUUAAGUUUAGGAAUGUGGUUGUGGUUGGUUUUUAAAGUAUUGUUUAUUUGAAAAUAUAUUAAAUUAUUUUUUUUAUUUUUUAAAAAUUAUUUUUGACAUUAAUACAUCAAAAUAAUUUAAAAUUACCAAAAAAAUAUUAAUUUGAAAAAAAAAACUUUCAAUUUUUUUUCAAAAAUAUUAUUGAAAUGCAAAAAACAAACUUGUCAUAAGCCACACAAUAAACACUGGUCUUGGAGGCGCGUGACCUUCUUUAAGGGUUUUGAGUCUUUUGACCACACGAUUCCUUGGAUAUUUCUAUCAUCCAAAUGAGCUCGUUAGCUAGGCCUUUUCCAAAUCGGCAAGUUGGGGACUCUUAUUGGGUUUUGCAUGUUGGAUUUGGCUCCAAUUUGAUGUUUUUUUUUUCUCGAGAAGUAUUUGGUGAAUCUAUUUUAUUUACAAAUUAGUUAGGUAGCCCGUGCUAUGCCACGGAUUCACCUUUUAUUUUUAUAAAAAAGUUGGGUUCUACGUAUUGCAGGAUCCAAGUCUAUUUUGGGUCUUACACAACCAAUGAUCAAAGGAUAUUUUGGGUACUGCAACAUGCGGGAUCUAAGGAUAGUUGGGUCUUGGCGCAGUCCCAGUGCCACUUGUACGCUUGGUCUGGCAACACAAAGGCAGGUAGCCCAAGAGCAACGUGUUCCCAUGUGGUUUUUCUUCAAUAGUAACAACAGUUUUUUAAAAUUUAUUAAUGAUAAUGAUGAUAAUAAUAAUAAUAGUAUAAAAAUAAUAAUAAUUAUAACACAAAAGAUAACAUUUUUAAUAUUAAUAGAUUUGAUUAUAGUAAAAAUAAUAAUAUUCAUAACACAAAUAAUAGUAUUUUUAAUUCCAAGAAUAUUUAGAACACAAAUAAUAAUAUUUUUUAUAUUAAUACUUAGAAUUGUUGAAUAUUUUUAAUAAUAAUACGCCGCGGGCUCACUUUUUAUUUUUAUAAACAAUAUCAUAAAAAUUUAUAAUAUAAAUAGUAAUAUGUUUUCAAUAAUAAUAAUAAUAAUAAUAUUUUAUUUCAAAUUUAUUAAUUAUUUUAUUAAUAAUACUAAUUAUAAUAAAAAUUAUAAUAUUUACAAUACAAAUAAUUAUAUUUAGAUUCCUAGGACCUAGGAACCUUGGGUCUUGAUGAAUGACCGAAUAGAAUUGGGUCCUUAUGCAAGACCAAUUGAGCGUGGGUCCUAGCCAUAGUUUUAAAACCCGAACCGGUCCGGCGGGUUGACCCGGGACCCGGCCGACCCGGGCAUGAGACCGGUCCGGGUGGAGGCCAAAACCCGCUUGGGAAUUGACCUGGCCAGACCCGGUCGACCCGGAACCCGGUUGACCCGGCAAGACCCGACCGCAAACCCGUUGACUUUUAUUUUUUUUUUACUAAAACGACGUCGUUUUAAUUUUUUUAAAAAAAAAUUAAAAAUUUUUUUUUGACCCGGCGACCCGGUCGAGACCCGGUCAAAACCCGGAACCCGGGCCUUGGACCGGGCCGACCACCGGGCCGAGUCUAAAAACUAUGGUCCUAGCACCAAAUCCAUUUCCCUUGGGCGGGUGUUGGCUUGGCUCACACCACCGCAAGCCAGCCUAAGCACCACAUGUUCGCUUGGUCAACCUAACACACAGGCAUCAUCCCAAGUGCCAUGUUUGCAUUGGGGUUUGCCCAGCACACAGGUAGACAACCCAAGCACUCAAGGCUGGGCAGACCGAGCGCUAGGUGGCUACAGCCUGAGGGGGUAGCCAGUGGACGUUGCAUGCCCAGUGCCCAAGGCAGCCAAGCGCUAGGUGUUCGCAGCCUCAGUAGGCGCGCCUCCAGCCUGACGCUUGCGGCUUGCUGGUCGCAGCCUCACACAUGGCCCUACCAAACAAUGCUAUCCAUAGUGAAAGCACUUAUAAUCUAUAGUACUUCGUGCUAUAAUAUGUAAUAGUGUAAUCCAUAAUGAAUUCACUCAUAGUGCACAAUAGUUUGUACUAUAGUAAAAUACUGAUCAAUUUUAGUAAGAGGAAAGCUAUUCCUGGAAUAAUGAAGGAAUGCUGAAGUUGAUUCGGCCUUUUCCGGGGAAAAUAAAAAAAGAUCAUUCCUUCUGUAUUUGGGAAUGCUAGAUAUAGGUGUGGUGCUCGUAUUGUUUUCUUCACUUGAGUUUACUGGCCCACAUAAUUCCUGCUUCUUUAUUUUAUUUUCCCCGAAGAAGUUUAUAUAUAUGGGCAUGGUGCUCAUUAAAUGCAAUAGAUUUUGGAAAUUUAAACAAAAGUAUUUUCCCCGUAGUUUACCUGCUACGGUGCUUGUGCUGGAGUUUACUGCCCCACCUAUCAAAUUGCAGUGGUCAUAUGCAAAGAAAAGUCACUAAAAAGAGCAUCAUCAAUAUUCCAAGAAGGAUGGUACUUCCAUAAUCAUCGAGUUAAUGGACAUGACCACUGCAAUUUGAUAGGUGGGGCAGUAAACUCCAGCACAAGCACCGUAGCCCUCUGGUAAUGUCAGAAAAUACUUUUGUUUAAAUUUCCAAAAUCUAUUGCAUUUGAUGAGCACCAUGCCGAGUCAUCAAGUGCAGCCACAGAUACAAAAAUACAGGACAAGAAAAAUGAGAUGCUUAAAAUUGCAAGAAGUUUUGGCUCAUAAUCAAUGGACGCCAUGUUUGUGUCUAAUGCUUCCCUUCAAUGAUAAUGCUAAAUUUAUUAAUGAAGUGCAUGGCAUCAAUUCCCAUGGACUCGUUCCAAGUCAAGAUCGUCUGGUCUUUCACGUGUACCUUUCUCGCACGGGACAAGUUAAUCCAAUUUUUUUUUUCUUAUGAUGUGCAAUUUGAAAGCUUUACGUCCAUGGCUUUUUCAUGGACUCAUUCCACGUCUUGUAUUCCCUUUGUUUCAUAAAUAGAGUAGAUAAUCCGGCUGCUUCCAAGAGCAUGCAAUGGGCAAACUUUCCUUGAACCAGAUUGUCAGUAUCGGGAGAGCAACCAGACAUGGUUUAAUGUCCUGGAAAAAUAUCAGCCACAUUAGCAUGCCUAUGGUAAUAAGAAGAAGGCCCAUUUCUGUUUCUACAAGAAAACACAAUUAAUGUCAGUGUUGGUAUGUGGUCCAUUAACUCGAUGAUUAUGGAAGGACCAUCCUUCUUGGAAUAUUGAUGAUGCUCUUUUUUAGUGACUUUUCUUUGCAAUUUGAUAGGUGGGGCAGUAAACUCCAGCACAAGCAUCGUAGCCAAUUUCUUCGAAUUCCCAAUUCCCAAUUCCCAAUUUAUUUCCCACAAAUUCUUCGAAUUCCCAAUUUCUGAAGGGAUCGAACCUGUAAUCUUGAAAGACUGAUGUAGUUGUGGUGUAGAGAAAGUCCAAAACCGGUGUUUAUUGUCCAGCUUACACUGUUAAGCAAUUCAUAGCACCAAAAAUUAAGAACUGAAGAAAUGCAAUGCCAACUGUCAUGGUGAAGCAGCGUCGAAUAAAAUAGAACUUGAACAGUGUGAGUUGAUGGGUGAAAAUGAGAGCAUGAAAUUUCACCACCAUUGUUUUCUAAGUUUGUUUUUAUUGGUCUCAACAAUCUGUCACUCAAAAGAACAGGCAUUCUAUUUUUUAUCACGAACAGUGGCAUUUUAAAACUAAGAAGGCCAGGCAGUCAAUCCAUCCUUCCAUGGAAAGAGACCGUGUGGAAAAUAAUUGCUCGCGUCUUGGAGGCCAUGUUUGCGUCUAGUGCUUGCCUGCGAAAUUUAUGAAUGAAUUAAGUGCAUGGCUUUUUCAUGGACUCAUUCCACGUCUUGUAGGCCCUUUGUUUCAUAAAUAGAGUAGACUAGUAACAUGUCCCGCGCGAUGCCGCGGGUCAAUUAUUUUAUAUAUUUAAAAAAAAAAAACUAAAAUCUGAAAGUGUUAGGAUUUUUUAUAAAAUUAUACUCAAAAGUCUUAGGUUUGGUUGCAACGCCUGAACCAAGAGUAAUAUCUAUAAUAUUAAUAAUAACAUUAAACUUGCAUGACCUAAAUUUAAGUGGGUUUGGCUACAAUACCAGACCUAAUAGCAUUGGACGUGGGUCUAGUUGCAAGGGCGUGUCAUAAAAGUGUGAUAAUUAAAUAGAUUAAUUAAAAAAAAAAGGACAAAGAAAAAAAAACCAACAGGAAGAAAAAAACUAAUGAAGAAAAAAAAAAAAGCAUUAACUGGGUUAACCCUUCAAAUCACGUUAACCCGUCAAACCUUAGAUUCGCGUUGUAAAAGUUUGAUAACUAAAUAGGAAAAAACAAUUAAUGGGUUAACCCAGAAUUAACCUGACUAACUCGUCAAAUCAGGUUAACCCUUUAAACCCGGAAUCCGUGUCAUGAAAGUUUAAUAACUAAAUAGAAAAAAAAAAUUUAACAUUAACAAUUUAAAUUAAACAAAAAAAUUAAAAAAAAAACUAAAGGCAUAAGCUUUUUCACCGUGGACUGCACUGUGCAAUUCAUAGUCAAAGGCAUAAAAAAAAAAAAAACUAAAAGCAUCAGCCGAGAACUACAUAGAAAAAAAAUUUAAUAUUAAUAAACUAAAUUAAUUAAAAAGAAGGAAACCUCUAAGUAAAAAAAAAACAAACUAAAUAGAAAGAAAUUUAACAUUAAAAAAUUAAACUAAACGAAAAAAAUAAUUAAAAAGAUAAAAAAAGCAAAAAAAAUAAUUUCAAGUUAACUCGUCAAAUCAGGUUAACCCGUUAAAUCCGGGAUCCGUGUCAUGAAUAUUUGAUAACUAAAAAAAAAGAAAGAACGUUAACAAACUGAAUUAAACAAAAAAAAUUAAUUAAAAAGAAAAAAAAAAGAAAAUUUGUUUUGGAUUAACUUGUCCCGCGCGAGAAAGGUACACGUUAAAGACCAGACGAUCUUGACUUGGAACGAGUCCAUGGGAUUUGGGAAUGCCAUGCACUUCAUUAAUAAAUUUAGCAUUAUCAUUGAAGGGAAGCAUUAGACACAAACAUGGCGUCCAUUGUUUAUGAGCCAAAACUUCUUGCAAUUUUAAGCAUCUCAUUUUUCUUGUCCUGUAUUUUUGUAUCUAGUUCUGGUCCUCUGGCUGCACUUUAUGACUCGGCCUUGCUAGCAUCAGAAGGCAAGGCUUUGCUUGAGAGUGGAUGGUGGAGUCACUACAGCAACCUCACCUCACAUCGUUGCAACUGGACUGGCAUAGUCUGUGAUCGGGCUGGAAGAAUCACUGAGAUUUCCCCACCUCCAGAGUUCCACAAGGUGGGAAAUAAGUUUGGAAAGAUGAACUUUUCUUGCUUCUCAAACCUUGCCCGUCUCCACCUGGCCAACCAUGAGCUCAGUGGGAGCAUCCCGCCUCAAAUUUCCAUCCUUCCACAACUCAGAUACCUCAACCUGUCCUCAAAUUAUCUAGCAGGUGAGUUACCGUCUUCACUUGGAAAUCUCAGCCGAUUGGUUGAGCUUGAUUUUUCUUCCAAUUAUCUCAACUAUUCCAUCCCUCCAGAACUAGGCAAUCUUAAAAAUCUUGUUACUUUGAGCUUGUCUCAUAACAGAUUCAGUGGCCCAAUCCCUUCGGCACUUUGUCAUUUGGACAAUCUAACGCAUUUAUUUAUGGAUCGCAAUAUUCUCGAAGGUGCCCUCCCUAGAGAAAUAGGGAACAUGAGAAAUCUAGAGAGUUUGGAUGUGAGUGACAAUGCACUUUAUGGUCCAAUCCCUCGAACAUUGGGUAGGUUAGCCAAGUUGAGGUCUUUGAUCAUUAGUGAUGUCAGAGUCAGUGGAUCCAUUCCUUUGGAAAUAGGAAAUUUGACCAACCUUGAAGAUUUAGAUCUUUCCUCUAAUAUCAUCCUAGGUGGUUCGAUUCCUUCAACUGUAGGUUUUUUGUCUAAUUUGAUUUUUCUAAAUCUUUUCAAUAACCAAAUCACAGGUUCGAUUCCUUUUUCGUUAGGCAAUUUAACAAACUUGACAAUACUAGACCUCUCUUACAACCAAAUCAACGGAUCCAUCCCUUUGGAAAUACAAAACUUGACAAAUUUGAAAGAAUUAAAUUUGAGGUUAAACAAUAUCUGUGGUUCAAUUCCUUCAACUUUAGGCUUUUUAUCCAAUUUGUCUUUUCUAGAUCUUUCCUAUAACCAAAUCACUGGUUUGAUUCCUUCAACUUUGGGUCUUUUAUCCAAUUUGAUUAUUCUAGAUUUUUCCUACAACCAAAUCACAGGUUCGAUUCCUUUUUCGUUAGGCAAUUUAACAAACUUGACAAUACUAGACCUCUCUUACAACCAAAUCAACGGAUCCAUCCCUUUAGAAAUACAAAACUUGACAAAUUUGAAAGAAUUAAAUUUGAGGUUAAACAAUAUCUGUGGUUCAAUUCCUUCAACUUUAGGCUUUUUAUCCAAUUUGUCUUUUCUAGAUCUUUCCUAUAACCAAAUCACUGGUUUGAUUCCUUCAACUUUGGGUCUUUUAUCCAAUUUGAUUAUUCUAGAUUUUUCCUACAACCAAAUCACAGGUUCGAUUCCUUUUUCGUUAGGCAAUUUAACAAACUUGACAAUACUAGACCUCUCUUACAACCAAAUCAACGGAUCCAUCCCUUUAGAAAUACAAAACUUGACAAAUUUGAAAGAAUUAAAUUUGAGGUUAAACAAUAUCUGUGGUUCAAUUCCUUCAACUUUAGGCUUUUUAUCCAAUUUGUCUUUUCUAGAUCUUUCCUAUAACCAAAUCACUGGUUUGAUUCCUUCAACUUUGGGUCUUUUAUCCAAUUUGAUUAUUCUAUAUCUUUCCUCUAACCAAAUCACUGGUUUGAUUCCUUUUUCAUUAGGCAAUUUAACAAGCUUGAGAAAUUUAGACCUCCAUGACAACCAAAUCAACGGAUCCAUCCCUUUAGAAAUACAAGACUUAACAAAUUUGAAAGAAUUAAAUUUGAGUUCAAACAAUAUCUGUGGUUCGAUUCCUUUAACUUUAGGCUUUUUAUCCAAUUUGUCUUUUCUAGAUCUUUCCUAUAACCAAAUCACUGGUUUGAUUCCUUCAACUUUGGGUCUUUUAUCCAAUUUGAUUAUUCUAGAUCUUUCCUCUAACCAAAUCACUGGUUUGAUUCCUUUUUGGUUAGGCAAUUUAACAAACUUGACAAGCCUAGACCUCUCUCACAACCAAAUCAACAGAUCCAUCCCUUCAUCUUUGAAGUAUUGUAAUAAUUUGGCCUCCCUAGAUUUGAGCUUCAAUAAUUUAAGUGGAGAGAUACCCUCCGAACUAUAUGACUUGGGCUCUUUAAAUUAUGUGAAUUUUAGUUACAAUAAUCUCUCAGGCCGUGUUCCCUUGAAUUUGCCAACACCCUUUGAUUUUUAUUUCUCAUGUGAUUUACUUCUUCUUGGGGAAAUUACCAACAAUUCUGCAACUUUUAAAGCUACUGCAUUUGAGGGCAACAAAUAUUUACACCCUAAUUUCUCACGUUGUCCAUCUAUUUACUCCCCACCUUCACAAACCUACUUGUUACCUUCAAAAGACAACAAAAUAAUUCAUUCCAUCAAGAUCUUUCUUCCUAUCACCAUCAUUUUACUUUGUCUCUUGUGUCUUGGACGUUGUUAUUAUCUGUCUCGAUGCAAGGCUACCCAACCUGAGCCAACAACAUUAAAGAAUGGAGACUUGUUUUCCGUAUGGAAUUAUGAUGGGACGAUUGCAUACGAAGACAUCAUUACAGCGACCGAGAACUUUGACCUCAGAUAUUGUAUCGGAACCGGUGGUUAUGGGAGCGUCUACCGAGCACAACUUCCAGGUGGGAAAUUAGUUGCCUUGAAGAAACUUCAUCAUCGAGAGGCAGAGGAGCCGGCUUUUGACAAGAGUUUCAAAAAUGAGGUGGAAGUGCUCACACAAAUACGUCAUAGGAGCAUUGUAAAGCUUUAUGGAUUCUGUUUGCACCAGCGCUGCAUGUUUCUUGUUUACGAGUACAUGGAAAAGGGAAGCUUGUUUUGUGCCUUGAGAAAUGAUGUCGGAGCUGUGGAAUUGAAAUGGAUGAAAAGAGCACACAUCAUCAAAGACAUUGCUCACGCAUUAUCUUACUUGCAUCAUGAUUGCAACCCGCCAAUUGUUCAUCGAGACAUAUCAAGCAGCAAUGUCCUGUUGAAUUCAGAAUCCAAGUCUUUUGUUGCUGAUUUUGGCGUGGCUAGACUUCUCGAUCCUGAUUCGUCCAACCAUACUGUACUUGCUGGUACCUAUGGAUACAUUGCCCCAGGUAAAAAUAUUUCUUCUUAACAUCCAUAUUUACCACUCAUGCACUUCAAAACUAAAGCAAACUCUCUUUUAAAUAUAUAUAUAUAUAUAUAUAUAUUAAUUUUGUUUUGAAUAUGGACAGAGUUGGCUUAUACUAUGGCGGUGACAGAGAAAUGUGAUGUGUACAGCUUUGGAGUUGUGGCGCUUGAAACUUUGAUGGGAAGGCAUCCGGGAGAUAUCCUAUCAUCAUCUGCUCAGGCUAUUACACUGAAAGAAGUGUUAGAUCCUCGUUUGCCACCUCCAACAAAUGAGAUUGUCGUACAAAAUAUAUGUACCAUUGCAAGUCUUAUAUUUUCUUGCUUACAUUCAAAUCCAAAAAAUCGACCUUCGAUGAAAUUUGUGUCUCAAGAAUUUCUAUCUCCCAAGAGAUUAUUGGGAGGUCUCGAGAUUUCUUUGUUGGAGCUUCGAAAUCUUGGCUGGCACACAAAUGUAGGUGAGAUCAUAGUUCCUCGCUGAAAAAGUCAACUUCGAGCUCACAUGGAACUUCAACGAGAGCGCCUCCAAGAGUAUGUGUUUAUAGAAUUUCUUAAUUUUGGAUGAACUUUUUUUCUUUUGUUUUGUUUUAGCACACUACACGACUUUGUAAUAUUUUAGUGUGACAUUGUAUGUAAUUCUAAUAAUGCACACUUUUCUUGUGCAUGAUAACUAGUAUCAAUAUAUAUGAGCAUCAUAUUAAGUCUACCUCUCUAUACGUCGAGGUUAAAUUGAAAUCAUCACUCAUCUUAUAAUUAGGCAAAUCCACACUUGAAAUAUGCAGAAGAUAUUUGUUAACUACAUUAAUUUGUCCCUGCAAGCUCUUGUAUAAUAGAUGCCUGAAAGUAGUGAUUGGAUCUACUCUCUACAGUCUGUUCUGACUCCUAUAACUAUCUGAGCAACAUGUUUUGUUUCCCCCCCCCUGAAUGAUGCACCUUAUUAUUUAUCAUUUGGCACAGAUUGAAUUUUCAAUCAUCUUCCACUCCAAAUGAAGAUUUACGUCUCAUGUUAGGGACCAAGCUUUGACCUCAAGGAUAGUGAGUCGAGAUGUCCACCCUCCAUAUACUAGAUAGACAUGCCCCAACAUCGGCCACCAUGUCUAUCUAGUAAAAUGUACAAGAUCCCUAGCUAUAGAUUAUUUUCAAUCUCAGAGACAUUUACUAACAGAGAAAAUAUAUCAUAGUAUCCGAUUAUGAGUGUCGCACGUGUGCAGCGUCGCGGCGAAAAUAACAUAGUUGUUUGUUUUCAUUUUCUUAAUCUACAAUGUAAAUCUAUCUAUAUCUAUGGGGAUACAAGAAAAUACUGUCUUUUAUUGGUAGAAAAUGGAAUGGGAGUCGCCACCUAGUAUUUUGGUCACUAGGAACCCUAACUGGUCUCAGAGAUCGGGUACGGGGACUGGUUGCGUAAAGAAAAGGUAUUAGCACCCCAAAUACGCCCUAUCUAAGGUAAGCUGCAUUGUUUUAUUGUCUGAUAAAAUCUAAGGUCUUUUCGUGUUUUCCUAGUUGCUUGUAUGGUUUAAGAAAAGUCCUCCCCUGUAAGGAGAUCCUUAUCUUAAAGGGUAAUCCUAACCGUUCUAACUUCUAUACCAAAACUUUAUUAAUAGUAUUUAGGAAUACGUUUUACAUAUAAAUUCGUAAUCCCAAAUACUACAAGAAAACAAAAAGAUUUUUUUAGAAUUUUUGAAAUAUUGGCCUAAUUCUCAUGGCUUGAAUAAACUGGUUAUUAAAGCCAAAAUGCAUGCUAAUACAUAUAUUGUUUUGAGAAUUUUCUUUGUUGUGUGAAAAUAUGAUGUUAUAAUAUUUAUAUAUAUAUAUUGGAGAGACUAGGCCGUAUUUUAAAACAAAAACAAUUUUUUUUGAAUUUUUUUUUUAUGCUUUGACGAAAAUUGGGUAUUUUAAUAAUGAGUUUGUAUCCUUACGGUAUAAAAAUACUAACCAACAUUAAUCCACCUUAAUAAAAAAUAUGCAGGAAAAAUCAACAAUAUUUUUAAAGAACUUUUGGAAUUUUUUGAAAGUAAAAACAUUUUUUAUUUUGAAAAUCUUUGAUGUUUUGACGAAAACCGGGUAUUUUAAUACUGGAUUUAUAUCUUUACGGUAUAAAAAUACAAACCAACAUUAAGCCAUUUUGACAAAAAUAUGCAGGAAAAUCAAUAAUAUUUUUCAAGAUUUUUUAGAAUAUAUUUUUUAAAAUAUACAUACAUAUAUAAUAUAAUAUAAUAUAUAAUAGUAUAUAAUAUAAUAUAUUAUGUGGGCCGGCCCGGCCCAACCGAAUGGGCCAGACUCAGCCCAGCAGGAAUGGGGCCGAUUUCGGCCCAGAAUGGAUUGGGCCGAUCUCGGCCCAAUAAAAAACUCAUAUCUAGGCCGGACUUGGCCCAUAUAGCUGGGAUGGGCCAGACCUGGUCUAGCCCAUCAAACACAGGGAUGGGCCAGACCCAGUCUGGCCCAAAAAAAUGCUGGGCCAGGAUCCGCCUGGCCCAGCUACGCAUCGUCAGGGGGGAAAUUAUUUCCCCCCUCCUCCUGCAUGCAGAACGUUCGUUCUGCAUGCAGGGAAACAAAUUAAAAUGCCAACAGCUAGGGGGGAGAAGAAGUUACCUGGCGUGGAAGAGGCGGUCGCGGGUGGUGCUGCGGUGGAGGCCGGUGGUCGUCGUGGCUCACGGACGGCGGCUCCCAGCGGCGGUGCUGCUGCUCAAACGGCGAAAAAAAGAUUUUCUUCCUCUUCCCCUCUUCUUUUUUUCGUUUUCGGUAUUUCUUUCUUUUCCUUCCUUUCUCUUUGUUUUCUGUUUUCUUUUCUUUUGUUUUCGAUUUAUUCUUUCCUCUUUUCUCUCUCUCUUCGGUCUCCUCUCUCUCUCCUCCCUUCGGUCCGUUUUUUUUCCUUUUCUUUUUGUUCUCUCUUUAUAGGUGAGAAAAGGCGUUGGGACCGUUAUUAGUGCGCCUGGGGAGCGGGUUUCGCGGCGGCUGGUCGGCCGCCACCCGCGACAGCAAGGCACCGUUCCUUUACUUUCGGCCGGUGGUCGGCCAAUGACUUCGGUCGGUGGUCCCACGGUGUGGGGCUUCGGGCUGUUCGGUGGAGAUGCAGAGGAGAGAGGGGUGGGAAGAUUUUCAAAAACAAAGUUUUCUUCCUUCUGUUGCAGGUUCGGGGGGAGGGGAAGAAGAAAGGGGAACAGUGUCGUUCAAAACGGCACCGUUCAGUCUUUUUUUUUUUUUUUUUUAUGUAUGAAACAACGUCGUUUUGGAGAAAACGCGCCGUUUCAUUUAAAAAUGGCCCUAGAACGCGCCAAAUUUCCAACUUAGGCCUCAAUCAUCUUUGUUCAUUUCAAUUGCGUCCCUGCCAAUUUCGAUCCCCGCCCCCAUAGUUGGCCGCGAUUUUCACUUUGGUCCUUGGCCUCUGAUUUAUGCAAUUAAGCCCUCAAUUGAUCAAUAAGCUUCCAAUUUCUUCAAUUAGGCCCCUGAAUCAAUUCAAAACAGCCCCCCCUCUAUUUACCCGCUUUUUCCAAAUUGGUCUCUGGUUUCGAAUUUUCACAAUUAAACCCCUAAUUGGCCAUUAAACUUCAAUAUUUAUGCAAUUAAGCCCCUGAUUUGACCCAAUAAAUUCCUAAAAAAUAUAUUUUGGCCCCAGAACUUAAAUUUCUUCUAAUUAAAGCCCAAAUUGACUUAAAAAUCGAUUUUUCUUGCAAUCAAAUCCUCUAUAAAUUCAAAUAAAAAUCCAAUUAAGUCCAUAAACAUCCAAAUUUGAACUUUUCUCCUCAAACUUCCAAUUUUCUUAUCCAAUAGGGCUCUCAUCAUUCAAGAAUAUAUUGUCAAAAAUCCAUCUUUGUAUUUUUAAUCUCCUUGACCGAUUUUUCUGACCAUUUGCUGAGCGCUUCUGCCUCCUGAUAUUUUUCUAACCUCCUUUGGCUAUUUAUUUUAUUUCAUUUAUUUGGGGACCCGAAAAUGGGUUACAACAAUGAGCACAUGAUUUCUUCGUAUCAGCAUCUGAUUUAUAAAAUAUUGAAACCAAUUUUUAAAGUUGAAAUUCUUUACCUUUGUCGCACCCCCACAAAAAAACAAAUUUCAAUUUGCGAUUUUACGGGUUCGACUGGCGAAUUUUUAUUUUUUGGUUUGAUUUGGUUCUUUGGAGUCGCCACCUAGUAUUUUGAUCACUAGGAACCUUAACUGGUCUCAGAGAUCAGGUACGGAGACUGGUUGCGUAAAGGGAAGGUAUUAGCACCCCAAAUACGCCUUACCUGAGGUAAACUGCAUUGUUUUAUUGUCUGAUAAAAAAAAAACUAAAGUGUUAUUAUGUUUUUCUAGUUGUUGGUCUGUCUAUGGUUCAAGAAAAAUCCCCCUCGGUAAGGAGGUCUUUAUCUUAUCGGGUAAAAAUCCUAACCGUUCUAACGUCCAUACCAAAAUUUUAUUAAUAAUAUUUAGGAAUACGUUUUACGUAUAAAUUCGUAAUCCCAAAUAUUAAAAGAAAACAAAAAGAUUUUUUUUAGAAUUUUUGAAAUAUUGGCCUAGUUCUCAUGGCUUGAAUAAACUGGUUAUUAAAGCCAAAAUGCAUGUUAAUACAUAUAUUGUUUUUUGAAAAUUUUCUUUGUUGUGUGAAAAUAUGAUGUUAUAAUAUUUAUGUAUAUAUAUUGGAGAGACUAGGCCGUAUUUUAAAACAAAAACAAUUUUUGGAAAAUAUUAUUUUUUUUAUGCUUUGACGAAAAUCGGGUAUUUUAAUACUGAGCUUGUAUCCUUACGGUAUAAAAAUACAACCCAAUAUUAAUCCAUUUUGAUAAAAAUAUGCAGAAAAAUCAACAACAUUUUUAGGGACUUUGUAGAAUUUUUUGAAAGCAAAACAUUUUUUAUUCUGAAAAUCUUUGAUAUUUUGACGAAAACCGUGUAUUUUAAUACCAGAUUUGUAUCUUUACAAUAUAAAAAUACAAACUGAUAUUGACCAAAAUACAGUAAUAAAAUUACAGAAAAAUCACAAAUUCUUUGAAAUAUCUUUUUUUGAAAAUUUUUUAUUUUUUUUUAUAUAUAUAUAUAUAUUUUUUUGGGUGAGGCCCACGUGGCUGGGCUGCACCCAGCAAGCCUCAUGUGAACAGUGAAUCAUGUCUUAUGUGAACAGUGAAUAGCAUUUCACUGUUCAAUUGAAUUAUAUUUGAUGUGAACAGUGAAUUAACAUUUCACUUGAACAGUAAAAUGCAAGGAAAUGGUGCAUGCACAGCGACGAAAGGGGGUGCAAACCUGGUGGCAGAAACGAUGCCGAAGUCGAUGGCUAACACUCCCAGUGAUGCUGGUGGCGGUGGACAGGAAGCCAAUGGGGGUUCACGGUGGUUCUGACGGUGGCAGUGGUUGGGAAGCUCGAUGACAGCAGCUGCCUUCUCUUCUUCUUCCCCUUUACAGAGGCGUUUCUUCUUCUCUUGGUUUCUUUCAGUCAGCAAUGUUCUUCCCUCUCUAUGGCAGCUUUGUGAAGGCGCUGGUAGUGGUGGCCGGGGAGUGACUGGGACGGUGGUCGGUGACUGUGGAGUGUGGUGUUCAGCCUUUCUCCCUUUUCUUCUCUGCGUUCCUCUUCAGCUGUCUCCUCCUCUGUGUGCUGGGUUGGGCGCUAUUUAUAGAGCCAGUGGGCGUGGCUUCACCGUGGAGCCAAGGAGCGGGUCGGGGAGCGGCUCAUGUGAACAGUGAAUAGUAUUUCACUGUUCACGUGAAUUAUAUUUGAUAUGCACAGUGAUCUUAGCAUUUCACUGUUCACGUGAAUUAUAUUUGAUAUGCACAGUGGACUAGCAUUUCACUGUUCACGUGAAUUAUAUUUCACUUGAACAGUGAAAUGCAAGGAAAUGGUGUAUGCAGAACGACUUCCAAUUUUAAGAAUAAAAUUCAAUUGCGUCCCUGCCAAAUUCGAUCCCUACCCCUAUAGUUGGCCGCGUUUUUCAUUUUGGUCCUUGGCCUCUGAUUUUCACAAUUAAACCCCUAAUUGAUCAAUAAGCUUCCAAUUUCUUCAAUUAAACCCCUGAAUCAAUUCCAAACAGCCCCCUUUAUCUUUGCGCCUUCUCCAAAUUGGUCCCUGGUUUCGGAUUUUCACAAUUAAGUCCCUAAUUGGCCAUUAAACUUCAAUAUUUAUGCAAUUAAACCCCUGAUUUGACCCAAUAAAUUCCUAAAAAAUAUAUUUUGGCCCCAAAACUUAAAUUUCUUCUAAUUAAAGCACAAAUUGACUUAAAAAUCAAUUUUUCUUGCAAUCAAAUCUUCUAUAAAUUCAAAUAAAAAUUCAAUUAAGUCCAUAAACAUCCAAAUUUGGGCUUUUCUCCUCAAAAUUCAAAUUUUCCUUCUCAAUAGGGCUUUCAUCCUUCAAGAAUAUACUGUCAAAAAUUCAAUCCUUGUAUUUUUAAAUUCCUUGACCAAUUUAUCUAACUGUUUUCUGAGCGCUUCUGCCUCCUGUUAUUUUCUAACCUCUUUUGGCUAUUUAUUUUAUUUUUCAUGGGGACCCAAAAAUGGGUUACAACAACCUUGUUAUCACAUUGAUCAUCCCAUUAAUUUCCCCUUCAUGAUAUCCUUAAAUAAGAAAAAGCUUAGGGUAUGUGCAACUGUCCUGAAGCUCUUAGACAAUCCAGGAGAAAAAAUUUAUUUGGCACAUCAUAUAUUUCCUUGGACGGUCGUUCAUAAAUCGUAUAUGCUAAAUGUUUUACAUACUCUAAUUAUAACAAAUGAUUAUGUAUGACAGUUCACAUUCUCCUGCAUGAAAGCUCUAUGUACCCAUUAUCUUGGUGACAAUUGACAAGUCGCCGAUGCAAUUCUGCAAUUAUAUUAGAAUGCAAGGAUGAUAUAUUUAUUUAGGAUUUUAUAAAUUAUCCCAUGGCUGUGUAUAUUCAAUAAUUUUGUUUAAUGAUUACAGCCCCACAUCAGUUUCUUGUUCGAGGCUUUUCGGGCCUUCAAUUGAACCUAAACAAAAACAAACUAUUCCAACAUGAACACGAAACAAAGCCGAAGAAGCUAUGGGCUUAAUUAAGCCUUUUUAUACGAGCAAGACGAAUCAGCACGAGAUUUCAAAUUCCUGCAAGAAUUACUAGAACCCACAAACGUGGCAACUCAAGGGCCUCAUCAUCCAAAACCAAAAUGCAAGUACUCCCCUAAAAGAUAAGAUUGUAGGGUUGUACAGGUCUCCUUCUGCAAUUACUUGUCAAGUCCUCCAACUAUUGCCUAAUUCUUAAUCAAGUCCCUCAAUCCAAAUUGGAUAUCCAUCACACAUUAUCCAAUUCACCCGUCACCAUAAAAAAAAUUAAAAAUUGAAAUAACUAAUUUGUUUAAGAUGGAUGGUUCUAUGGUUCUGAUUUACAAAUCUUGAGAUCAAACUUAGAAUCCCAUGAAAGUCUUUGGUUUAGAAUAAAUAAAUCAUCUCUUUUUAGAUUAAAAGUUACUUCUAACACGAUAAUAAAAAAUAGUUAAGUCUAGUUUUAUGAUUUUAAAGAAAAACAUUUAAAAUCAAAAGUCAGUUUAAAAAAGAUCACGAGUAAUUCAUUCUAAAUAUUUACAGUAAACGGAGCCAGAAUUUCAAGAGCCUUUGAUUAUUAAAAUUAACACCUCACUUAAAAUCCAAACAAAUUUAGAAACGCGAGAAAGUCGUUCAGAUAAGGCUGAAAAAAGAAAAAAGAAACCAACGAUUUUUCAAUCUUCCCGCUUAUUGCUUAAUCAAGCAGAGAUGGUGGUUGCUUAGAUUUUCUCCUUCAAUUAUAGUUUAUCGUUCAGUUUCAACCAUAAACAGGCAAGACUCCCACGAAUCCAGGCUGUUUUCGGACACCAAUUAAGAAAUCUGAGAUAUCUCUUCACAUUGCCCUCAAUUAUUUGGUUGUGUCAUCUAGCAGGGCUCUUCUGAGAACGAUAGAGAUUUCUUUGGAUCUGAUGAUUUUGGUCUGAAGCCAAUCAGAACGGAAUCCACAUCAACAACGAAUACUUUCCAGAAAAAGAGUAUAUUUUUUGAAGAAUCUGUUGCAGGUUCCCCAAUGUCAAGAUUUGGCAACUCUCCAAGGUUCAGCGAAGCAGGGGACCAUUUUGACAAUUACUCGAGAUUUGAUUCCUUCAGCAUGAAUGAAGGAGGCUUUUCACCACGAGAAAAGCUUACAAGGUUCGACUCCAUAAACAGCUCCAAAGAUUUUGGCCACAGCCGUGCAUUCUCUUCAUUUGGGUUUUGCAUGUCGGAUUUGGCCCCGAUUUGAUGAUUUUUUGGGUGAAUCUAUUUUAUCUAUAACGUAGUAAGUAAAUAGCUAUUCCCGGAAUAAUAAAGGAAUGUUGAAGUUGAUUCGGCUUUUCCCGGGGAAAAGAUAAAAAGAUCAUUCCUUCUGUAUUUUGGAAUGCUAGAUAUAGGUACGGUGCUCGUAUUGUUUGUUUUCUUCACUAGAGUUUACUGCCCAACAUAAUUCCUGCUUCUUUAUUUUAUUUUCCCCGAAGAAGUUUAUAUAUGGGCAUGGUGCUCAUCAAAUGCAAUAGAUUUUGGAAAUGUAAACAAAAGUAUUUUCUGACAUUACGAGAGGGCUACGGUGCUUGUGCUGGAGUUUACUGCCCCACCUAUCAAAUUGCAGUGGUCAUAUGCAAAGAAAAGUCACUAAAAAGAGCAUCAUCAAUAUUCCAAGAAAGAUGGUCCUUCCAUAAUCAUCGAGUUAAUGGACCACAUACCGACACUGACAUUAAUUGUGUUUUCUUGUAGAAACAGAAAUGGGCCUUCUUCUUAUUACCAUAGGCAUGCUAAUGUGGCUGAUAUUUUUCCAGGACAUUAAACCAUGUCUGGUUGCUCUCCCAAUACUGACAAUCUUGACUCAAACUACUUCAAGGAAAGUUUGCCCAUUGCAUGCUCUUGGAAGCAGCCGGAUUAUCUACUCUAUUUAUGAAACAAAGGGAAUACAAGACGUGGAAUGAGUCCAUGAAAAAGCCAUGGACGUAAAGGUUUCAAAUUGCACAUCAUAGUAGGAACCGAACCAUGGACAUUAUUUGAACUGAGAUCUAAUGUUUUCAAAUUUUCCAUGUUCCUAUUUCAUAAAGGAUGGAUCCGUUGAUUUUAUUGAAAGAAAGGUCAAUAUAUCUCAAACUGGUUAAACUGUCUACUCUGGAAUGAAUGGAACCACUGAUAAUGUUUGAAUCGGGAUCUAUGGCUUCCAAAUUUGCCAAGUUUCAUAUUUUCAAAUGGAUGUAUCCGUUGAUUUGAUUGGAAUAAGGCUUUAGAUAUCUCAAAAUGGUUAUACUAAGGUUGUUAAUUUUAUUUUGUUCUAUCCGGAAUGACCGGUAUUCUUGUUCCAGUUAAAAAAACAAAAUAAACCGAAAUAAAUUUCAUGUCAAUCAGAAUCUUGGCCUGUUCUUGAAAUAAAUCGGCCUGUUUUAUUUGGUGUUAUCCUGGUCUCAGUAUCUGGAUCAUAAAUUAGAAAUAUUAACCUGAGUCGAUCUAAUAUGUUCUCGUCUUAAUAUUUUUUAAGAAAAAAUAUACAGUCUUGAAUUUUUUUUAGUCAAACGAUAUUUUUAUCAAUCGUCCAUAUUGUCUUCAAACCUAUUUAGUUGAUCGGGUCAUAUUCAUUCAACUCUUAUUUUUUUUACUUGUGUUUAAAAUUUAAAAAACAUAAUUUCAAGUUAGUUUUUUAAAUUGUCUAAUGAAAAAGGAAUCGAACAAGUGAUGUAGAGAAAGUCCAUACAAAUUCUUCGAAUUCCCAAUUUCUGAAGGGAUCGAACCUGUAAUCUUGAAAGACUGAUGUAGUUGUGGUGUAGAGAGAGUCCAAAACCGGUGUUUAUUGUCUAGCUUACACUGGUAAGCAAUUCAUAGCACCAAAAAUUAAGAACUGAAGAAAUGCAAUGCCAAUUGUCAUGGUGAAGCAGCGUCAAAUAAAAUGGAACUUGAACAGUGUGAGUUCAUGGGUGAAAAUGAGAGCAUGAAAUUUCACCACCAUUGUUUUCUCGUACUUCUCAGUUUGUUUUUAUUGGUCUCAACAAUCUGUCACUCAAAAGAACAGGCAUUCUAUUUUUGAUCACGAACAGUAGCAUUUGAAAACUAAGAAGGCCAGGCAGUCAAUCCAUCCUUUCAUGAAAAAUAAUCGCUCGCGUCUUGGAGACCAUGUUUGCGUCUAAUGCUUGCCUGCGAAAUUUAUGAAUGAAUUAAGUGCAUGGUUUUUUCAUGGACUCAUUCCACGUCUUGUAGGCCCUUUGUUUCAUAAAUAGAGUAGGCUAGUUACAUGUCCCGCGCGAUGCCGCGGGUCAAUUAUUUUUUAUAUUUUUUAAAAAACUAAAAUUUGAAAGUGUUAGGUCUUUUUACAAAAUUAUACCCAAAAGUCUUAGGUUUGGUUGCAACGCCUAAACCAAGAGUAAUAUCUAUAAUAUUAAUAAUAACAUUAAACUUGCAUGACCCAAAUUUAAGUAGGUUUGGCUACAAUACCAGACCUAAUAGCAUUGGACGUGGGUCUAGUUGCAAGGGUGUGUCAUAAAAAUGUGAUAAUUAAAUAGAUUAAUUAAAAAGAAAAAGACAGAAAAAAAAACCAACAGAAAGAAAAAAACUAAUGAAGAAAAAGAAAAAAAAUAUAUGCAUUAACUAGGUUAACCCUUCAAACCAGGUUAACCCGUCAAACCUUAGAUUCACGUCGUAAAAGUUUGAUAACUAAAUAGGAAAAAACAAAUUAAUGGGUUAACCCAGAAUUAACCGGGCUAACUCGUCAAAUCAGGUUAACCCGUCAAACCCGGAAUCCGUGUCAUGAAAGUUUAAUAACUAAAUAGAAAAAAAAAUUUAACAUUAACAAUUUAAAUUAAACAAAAAAAUUAAUUAAAAAGAAAAAAAAACAAAAAAAAACUAAAGGCAUCAGCCUUUUAACCGUGGACUGCACUGUGCAAUCCAUAGUCAAAUGCAUAAAAAAAAAAAAAAAAAAAAAAAAAACUAAAGACAUCAGCCGAGAACUAUAUAGAAAAAAAUUUAAUAUUAAUAAACUAAAUUAAUUAAAAAGAAGAAAACCUCUAAGAAGUAAAAAAAAUACUAAAUAGAAAAAAAUUUAACAUUAACAAAUUAAACUAAACGAAAAAAAAAUUAAAAAGAUAAAAAAAGCAAAAAAAACAAUUUAAGGUUAACUCGGCAAACCAGGUUAACCAGUUAAAUCUGGGAUUCGUGUCAUGAAUAUUUGAUAACUAAAUAAAAAAAAAGUGAACGUUAACAAACUGAACUAAACAAAAAAAAUUAAUUAAAAUGAAAAAAAAAUUUGGGUUAACUCGUCAAACCAUGUUAACCCGUUAAACUCAGGAUCUGUGUCAUGAAAGUCUGAUAACUAAAUAAAAAAAUUAACAUUAACAAACUAAAUUAAACAAAAAAAAUAUAUGAAAAAAAAAAAACAAAAUUGACGGGUCAACCUAGAAUUAACUGAGUUCACCCGUGAAACCAGGUUAACCCGUGAAACUCGAGAUAUAUGUUAUGAAAGUCAGAUAACUAAAUAUAAAGAAAUUUAAUAUUAACAAACUAAACUAAACAAAAAAAAAGCAAAAAAAUAAUUUCUAAGUUAACUUGUCAAACCAGGUUAAUGUGUUAAACUCAGAAAACAUUUCAUGAAAGUUUGAUAACUAAAUAAAAAAAAUUUAACAUUAAUAAACUAAAUUAAACAAAAAAAAAGAAUUUGUUAAAAGAAAAAAAAAAGAAAGAAAAAAAAAAAUAAUCCCGAAAUGCAUUAAAAAAAACAACUAAAAAAAUAAGACAACUUAAAAAAAAAACUAGUAUAUGUUACAAUAAUCCGGUUGCUUCCAAGAGCAUGCAAUGGGCAAACUUUCCUUGAAGUAGUUUGAGUCAACAUCGUCACUAUUCGCCCCCGCGCGCGCGCGCACCCAACUGAACUUGCACGUCAAUGUAGACUAAUAAUCAGCUUGUCCUAGCCUACAAGUCGAGUCCAACCUAACCAAUCUACUGUUAUUGUAAAAAAAUAAAAUUCAUAAGAAUUUAUAAUACAAAUAAUAAUAUGUUUUCAAUAUUAAUAAUAAUAUUUUCUUUCAAAUUUAUUAAUUUUUUUUAUUAAUAAUAUUAAUUAUAAUAAAAAUAAUAAUAUUUAUAAUACAAAUAAUUAUAUUUAGAAUCCUAGGACUGAGCGCCAAGUAGCUAUAGCCUGAAGGGGUGGCCAGUGGAUGUUGCAUGCCCAGCGCCCAAGGUAGCCAAGCGCUAGGUGUCCGCAACCUCAGUAGGCACGCCUCUAGCCUGAUGCUUGCAGCUUGAUAGUCGCAGCCUCACACAUGUUCCUGUUAAACAGUGCUGUACAUAAUAAAAAUUUAUAGUACUCCGUGCUACAGUAUGUAACAUUAUAAUCUAUAAUGAAUUCACUUACUUUGCACAAUAGCCUGCACUAUGGUAAAAUACUGAUAAGUAUUAGUAAGAGGAUAGCUUUUCCUGGAAUAAUAAUUGAAUGCUGAAGUUGAUUCGGCUUUUUCCGGGGAAAAGAAAAAAGAUAAUUCCUUCUGUAUUUUGGAAUGCUAGAUAUAGGUAUGGUGCUCGUAUUGUUUUCUUCACUUGAGUUUACUGCCCCACAUAAUUCCUGCUUCUUCAUUUUAUUUUCCCCGAAGAAGUUUAUAUAUGGGCAUGGUGCUCAUCAAAUGCAAUAAUAGAUUUUGGAAAUUUAAACUAAAGUAUUUUCUGACAUUACGAGAGGGCUACGGUGCUUGUGCUGGAGUUUACUGCCCCACCUAUCAAAUUGCAAAGAAAAGUCACUAAAAAAGAGCAUCAUCAAUAUUACAAGAAAGAUGGUCCUUCCAUAAUCAUCGAGUUAAUGGACCACAUACCGACACUGACAUUAAUUGUGUUUUCUUAUGGAAUCACACUAUUGCCGCUCCCAACACGGCAAAGUGACUAAGGUGGUGAUUUUUGUUGUGGUAGCUGGAGGUGGAGGAGGAGUGAGGGAGGUUGGUGUGAUGGAUAUGGAGUUACCAGUACACUACUAGUUGUGCUCUCAUCUAAGCAGCUUCGAUCCAUUUCUUUUUUUUCUUUUCAAAUAAAAAUGCAAUUGAUACUGUAAAAUUAGAGAGGUUUUUUUUUUUUUAAAGCAAAAAAAAUACUAUUUAGCCGGAACGGAACCGGAAUGCUCUAGCCAAAAUUUAAUCGAAAUAUUUUGUCUGAGAUUUUCAAAAUAGAUCGAGAUUCGGAUUAGAUGAAAUUUAUUUUGGUUUAUUUUGUUUUUUAAAGUGGAACAAAAAUACCAUUCAUUCCGAAGAGAACAUAAUAGAAUUAACAAUCUUAAUAUAAUUAUUUUGAGAUAUCUAAAACAUUAUUUCAAUCAAAUCAACGAAUCCAUCCCUUUAAAAAUAUAAAACUUGGCAAAUUUAGAAGCCAUAGAUCUCUAUUCAAAUAAUAUCAGUGGUUCCAUUCAUUCCAGAGUAGGCAAUUUAUCCAAUUUGAGAUAUAUUAACCUUUUUUCCGAUCAAAUCAACAGAUCCAUCUUUUAUGAAAGAGUGAACAUGGAAAAUUUGAAAACAUUAGAUCUCAGUUCAAAUAAUCCGGUUGCUUCCAAGAGCAUGCAAUGGGCAAACUUUCCUUGAAGUUGUUUGAGUCAAGAUCGUCACUAUUCGCCCCCGCGCGCACGCGCACCCGACUGACCUUGCACGUCAAUGUAGACUAAUAAUCAGCUUGUCCUAGCUUACAAGUUGAGUCCAACCUAACCAAUCUACUGUUAUUGUAAAAAAAAAAAAAAAAAAAAAGCAAUCCAAUUCCCAAUUCAAUAUAUACAGAAUCUAUAAAAAUUAAAAAUAUUACAUUGCAGCUACGAUUAUCUCUGGAAAAAAGUUUAAGAAAAAAAAGUAUACUUGCAUUAUUUACAAAUUAAAAUUUAAAAGCUGUUUGAAAACAUAGUUGAAAUUAUGUUUUUUUAAAAAUAAUUUUUUAUUUAAUUAUUUUUCUAAUAAAAAAUUUGAAUGUGGUGAAAAUAUAAAAAUUAACUUUUUUAUAUUAUUAAAUUGUUUUGAUGUGAUGAUGUGAAAAAUAAUUUUUUAAUAAUAAAAUUUUAUUAUUUUAAUAUAUUUUCAAACAAAAAAUAUUUUAAAAAAUAAUUAUUAACAUAAUCACAAAUAUGAAAUUUUCUUGCUUACUUUCGAAUCCAAAAUCUUGACCUUCAAUGAAAAUCAUGUCUCAAAAUUUUUUAUCAUGGUUCCUUGCUGAAAAUGCACAGGAUAUCAACAAACCUUCAAUGCACAUAAAUGUAGGAGAGAUAAUGUUUUCACUAUUUCAACUUAAAUCUACAAGACAUGGGCAGUACGAUGAUCAGAAUACGACUAUGUAUUAGCAUUAUUUUUCUACUCGGUCUCUUUCCACGAAAAUCAGGGAGAAUAGAAUAGAAUUAACUGCUGGCCUUCUUAAUUCCCAAAAUCCACUAUUGGUGAUUUGUAAGCCUUUUUCUUAAUCACAACGCGUGAAAGACCAGACGAUCUUGACUUGGAACGAGUCCAUGGGAAUUGAUGCCAUGCACUUUAUUAAUAAAUUUAGCAUUAUCAUUGAAGUGAAGCAUUAGACACAAACAUGGCGUCCAUUGUUUAUGAGCCAAAACUUCUUGCAAUUUUAAGCAUCUCAUUUUUCUUGUCCUGUAUUUUUGUAUCUGUGGCUGCACGUGAUGACUCGGCCUUGCUAGCAUCAGAAGGCAAGGCUUUGCUUGAGAGUGGAUGGUGGAGUGACUACAGCAACCUCACCUCACAUCGUUGCAACUGGACUGGCAUACUCUGUGAUCGGGCUGGAAGCAUCACUGAGAUUUCCCCACCUUAUCUAGUGGGAAAUAAGUUUGGAAAGAUGAACUUUUCUUGCUUCUCAAACCUUGCCCGUCUCGACCUGGCCAAC
This 34244-nucleotide long non-coding RNA is filed under the name Populus tremula. Its description in RNAcentral is "long non-coding RNA (PTRE_LNC001884)". Lineage: Eukaryota; Viridiplantae; Streptophyta; Magnoliopsida; Malpighiales; Salicaceae. The record is from RNAcentral.